ACGCUCGACACCUACGGGAGGCAGCAGUUGGGAAUAUUGGACAAUGGAGGAAACUCUGAUCCAGUGACGCCGCGUGAAGGAAGAAGGUCUUCGGAUUGUAAACUUAUUUUGUCAGGGAAGAAAAAUGACUGUACCUGAAGAAAAGCACCGGCUAACUACGUGCCAGCAGCAGCGGUAAUCUGAGCGGGCUGGCAAGGC
Molecule: ribosomal RNA, 198 nt
Filed under: uncultured bacterium
Lineage: Bacteria
Description: partial 16S ribosomal RNA
Rfam family: Bacterial small subunit ribosomal RNA
Source: RNAcentral